RNAcentral lists this ribosomal RNA (468 nucleotides) under uncultured bacterium. RNAcentral's name for it is "partial 16S ribosomal RNA". It matches the Rfam family "Bacterial small subunit ribosomal RNA", at positions 28 to 507 of the family's 1533-position model. The record is from RNAcentral.
GACGAACGCUGGCGGCGCGCCUAACACAUGCAAGUCGAACGGAGUCACGAGGAGCUUGCUUUUCUUGACUUAGUGGCGAACGGGUGAGUAACGCGUGAGUAACCUGCCCUGGAGUGGGGGACAACAGUUGGAAACGACUGCUAAUACCGCAUAAGCCCACGGAUCCGCAUGGAUCUGCGGGAAAAGGAUUUAUUCACUUCAGGAUGGACUCGCGUCCAAUUAGCUAGUUGGUGAGGUAACGGCCCACCAAGGCGACGAUUGGUAGCCGGACUGAGAGGUUGAACGGCCACAUUGGGACUGAGACAUGGCCCAGACUCCUACGGGAGGCAGCAGUGGGGGAUAUUGCACAAUGGGGGAAACCCUGAUGCAGCGACGCCGCGUGGAGGAAGAAGGUUUUCGGAUUGUAAACUCCUGUCGUUAGGGACGAUAAUGACGGUACCUAACAAGAAAGCACCGGCUAACUACGUG